GAUGAACGCUGGCGGCGUGCCUAAUACAUGCAAGUCGAGCGAACAGACGAGGAGCUUGCUCCUCUGACGUUAGCGGCGGACGGGUGAGUAACACGUGGAUAACCUACCUAUAAGACUGGGAUAACAUCGGGAAACCGGAGCUAAUACCGGAUAAUAUAUUGAACCGCAUGGUUCAAUAGUGAAAGACGGUUUUGCUGUCACUUAUAGAUGGAUCCGCGCCGCAUUAGCUAGUUGGUAAGGUAACGGCUUACCAAGGCGACGAUGCGUAGCCGACCUGAGAGGGUGAUCGGCCACACUGGAACUGAGACACGGUCCAGACUCCUACGGGAGGCAGCAGUAGGGAAUCUUCCGCAAUGGGCGAAAGCUUGACGGAGCAACGCCGCGUGAGUGAUGAAGGUCUUCGGAUCGUAAAACUCUGUUAUUAGGGAAGAACAAAUGUGUAAGUAACUAUGCACGUCUUGACGGUACCUAAUCAGAAAGCCACGGCUAACUACGUG
RNAcentral lists this ribosomal RNA (497 nucleotides) under uncultured bacterium. RNAcentral's name for it is "partial 16S ribosomal RNA". It matches the Rfam family "Bacterial small subunit ribosomal RNA", at positions 28 to 507 of the family's 1533-position model. The record is from RNAcentral.